This 1677-nucleotide ribosomal RNA is filed under the name human metagenome. RNAcentral describes it as "bacterial LSU rRNA". It matches the Rfam family "Bacterial large subunit ribosomal RNA", at positions 741 to 2431 of the family's 2925-position model. The record is from RNAcentral.
CAGGUUGAAGGUGCGGUAAAACGCACUGGAGGACCGAACCAGGGCACGUUGAAAAGUGCUUGGAUGACUUGUGGGUAGCGGAGAAAUUCCAAACGAACUUGGAGAUAGCUGGUUCUCUCCGAAAUAGCUUUAGGGCUAGCGUCGACAUAGAGAUUCUUGGAGGUAGAGCACUGUUUGGGUGAGGGGUCCAUCCCGGAUUACCAAUCUCAGAUAAACUCCGAAUGCCAAUGAAUUAUGGUCGGCAGUCAGACUGCGAGUGCUAAGAUCCGUAGUCGAAAGGGAAACAGCCCAGACCACCAGCUAAGGUCCCAAAAUAAUUGUUAAGUGGAAAAGGAUGUGGGGUUGCACAGACAACUAGGAUGUUAGCUUAGAAGCAGCUAUUCAUUCAAAGAGUGCGUAAUAGCUCACUAGUCGAGUGACCCUGCGCCGAAAAUGUACCGGGGCUAAAACAAUUUACCGAAGCUGUGGAUACCUUUAUAGGUAUGGUAGGAGAGCGUUCUAUGUGUGAAGAAGGUAUACCGUGAGGAGUGCUGGAACGCAUAGAAGUGAGAAUGCCGGUAUGAGUAGCGAAAGACAGGUGAGAAUCCUGUCCACCGUAAGACUAAGGUUUCCAGGGGAAGGCUCGUCCGCCCUGGGUUAGUCGGGACCUAAGGAGAGACCGAAAGGUGUAUCCGAUGGACAACAGGUUGAUAUUCCUGUACUAGAGUAUGUAGUGAUGGAGGGACGCAGUAGGCUAACUAAAGCAGACGAUUGGAAGAGUCUGUCUAAGCAGUGAGGUGUGAAUUGAGUUAAAUGCUUAAUUCUAUAACAUUGAGCUGUGAUGGGGAGCGAAGUUUAGUAGCGAAGUUAGUGACGUCACACUGCCAAGAAAAGCUUCUAGCGUUUAAACAUACUCUACCCGUACCGCAAACCGACACAGGUAGUCGAGGCGAGUAGCCUCAGGUGAGCGAGAGAACUCUCGUUAAGGAACUCGGCAAAAUGACCCCGUAACUUCGGGAGAAGGGGUGCUGACUUUAAGUCAGCCGCAGUGAAUAGGCCCAAGCAACUGUUUAUCAAAAACACAGCUCUCUGCUAAAUCGUAAGAUGAUGUAUAGGGGGUGACGCCUGCCCGGUGCUGGAAGGUUAAGAGGAGUGCUUAGCGCAAGCGAAGGUAUGAAUUGAAGCCCCAGUAAACGGCGGCCGUAACUAUAACGGUCCUAAGGUAGCGAAAUUCCUUGUCGGGUAAGUUCCGACCCGCACGAAAGGCGUAAUGAUUUGGGCACUGUCUCAACGAGAGACUCGGUGAAAUUUUAGUACCUGUGAAGAUGCAGGUUACCCGCGACAGGACGGAAAGACCCCAUGGAGCUUUACUGCAGUUUGAUAUUGAGUGUCUGUACCACAUGUACAGGAUAGGUAGGAGUCUAUGAGAUCGGGACGCCAGUUUCGAAGGAGACGAUGUUGGGAUACUACCCUUGUGUUAUGGCCACUCUAACCCGGAUAGGUGAUCCCUAUCGGAGACAGUGUCUGACGGGCAGUUUGACUGGGGCGGUCGCCUCCUAAAAGGUAACGGAGGCGCCCAAAGGUUCCCUCAGAAUGGUUGGAAAUCAUUCGCAGAGUGUAAAGGUAUAAGGGAGCUUGACUGCGAGAGCUACAACUCGAGCAGGGACGAAAGUCGGGCUUAGUGAUCCGGUGGUUCCG